CGAACCGUGCGAACGUUGUUCGGAAUCACUGGGCUUAAAGGGCGCGUAGGCGGGUUCGCAAGUCUGUGGUGAAAGCCUCCAGCUUAACUGGAGAAGUGCCGUGGAUACUGCGAAUCUUGAGGAGGGUAGGGGCAUCUGGAACGGUCGGUGGAGCGGUGAAAUGCGUUGAUAUCGACCGGAACUCCGGUGGCGAAGGCGAGGUGCUGGACCCUUUCUGACGCUGAGGCGCGAAAGCCAGGGGGAGCAAACGGGAUUAGAUACCCCGGUAGUCCUGGCCCUAAACGUUGAGGACUAGGUUGUGGACUGAACAUGGGUUCACAGCCGGAGCAAAAGUGCUAAGUCCUCCGCCUGGGGAGUAUGGUCGCAAGGCUG
This 372-nucleotide ribosomal RNA is filed under the name uncultured organism. RNAcentral's name for it is "bacterial SSU rRNA". It matches the Rfam family "Bacterial small subunit ribosomal RNA", at positions 526 to 896 of the family's 1533-position model. The record is from RNAcentral.